UACGAACUGUGCGAACGUUAUUCGGAAUCACUGGGCUUACAGGGUGCGUAGGCGGCUUAGCAAGUCAGGUGUGAAAGCCCCCGGCUCAACCGGGGAACUGCGCUUGAAACUGCUGAGCUCGAGUCGGCUAGAGGUACACGGAACUUCCAGUGGAGCGGUGAAAUGUGUUGAUAUUGGAAGGAACACCGGAGGCGAAAGCGGUGUACUGGGGCUGGUCUGACGCUGAGGCACGAAAGCCAGGGGAGCGAACGGG
This 253-nucleotide ribosomal RNA is filed under the name uncultured bacterium. Its description in RNAcentral is "partial 16S ribosomal RNA". It matches the Rfam family "Bacterial small subunit ribosomal RNA", at positions 524 to 776 of the family's 1533-position model. The record is from RNAcentral.